Molecule: ribosomal RNA, 497 nt
Filed under: uncultured bacterium
Lineage: Bacteria
Description: partial 16S ribosomal RNA
Rfam family: Bacterial small subunit ribosomal RNA
Source: RNAcentral
GAUGAACGCUGGCGGCGUGCCUAAUACAUGCAAGUCGAGCGAACAGAUGAGGAGCUUGCUCCUCUGACGUUAGCGGCGGACGGGUGAGUAACACGUGGAUAACCUACCUAUAAGACUGGGAUAACUUCGGGAAACCGGCGCUAAUACCGGAUAAUAUAUUGAACCGCAUGGUUCAAUAGUGAAAGACGGUUUUGCUGUCACUUAUAGAUGGAUCCGCGCCGCAUUAGCUAGUUGGUAAGGUAACGGCUUACCAAGGCAACGAUGCGUAGCCGACCUGCGAGGGUGAUCGGCCACACUGGAGCUGAGACACGGUCCAGACUCCUACGGGAGGCAGCAGUAGGGAAUCUUCCGCAGUGGGCGAAAGCCUGACGGAGCAACGCCGCGUGAGUGAUGAAGGUCUUCGGAUCGUAAAACUCUGUUAUUAGGGAAGAACAAAUGUGUAAGUAACUAUGCACGUCUUGACGGUACCUAAUCAGAAAGCCACGGCUAACUACGUG